GACGAACGCUGGCGGCGUGCCUAAUACAUGCAAGUCGAACGAACCGCGACUGAGUGCUUGCACUUGGUCAAGGUGAGUGGCGAACGGGUGAGUAACACGUGGGUAACCUACCUCAUAGUGGGGGAUAACAGUCGGAAACGACUGCUAAUACCGCAUAGGACAUGGAAUCACAUGAUUCUGUGAGGAAAGGUGGCGCAAGCUAUCGCUAAGAGAUGGACCCGAGGUGCAUUAGCUAGUUGGUAGGGUAAGGGCCUACCAAGGCGAUGAUGCAUAGCCGACCUGAGAGGGUGAUCGGCCACAUUGGGACUGAGACACGGCCCAAACUCCUACGGGAGGCAGCAGUAGGGAAUCUUCCGCAAUGGACGCAAGUCUGACGGAGCAACGCCGCGUGAGUGAAGAAGGUCUUCGGAUCGUAAAGCUCUGUUGUUAGAGAAGAACAGCGCAUAGAGUAACUGUUAUGCGUGUGACGGUAUCUAACCAGAAAGCCACGGCUAACUACGUG
This 502-nucleotide ribosomal RNA is filed under the name uncultured bacterium. Its description in RNAcentral is "partial 16S ribosomal RNA". It matches the Rfam family "Bacterial small subunit ribosomal RNA", at positions 28 to 507 of the family's 1533-position model. The record is from RNAcentral.